AUACGGAGGGGGUUAGCGUUGUUCGGAAUUACUGGGCGUAAAGCGCACGUAGGCGGACUGGAAAGUUGGGGGUGAAAUCCCGGGGCUCAACCUCGGAACUGCCUCCAAAACUUCCAAUCUAGAGAUCGAGAGAGGUGAGUGGAAUUCCAAGUGUAGAGGUGAAAUUCGUAGAUAUUUGGAGGAACACCAGUGGCGAAGGCGGCUCACUGGCUCGAUACUGACGCUGAGGUGCGAAAGCGUGGGGAGCAAACAGGAUUAGAAACCCGGGUAGUCC
RNAcentral lists this ribosomal RNA (274 nucleotides) under uncultured bacterium. Its description in RNAcentral is "partial 16S ribosomal RNA". It matches the Rfam family "Bacterial small subunit ribosomal RNA", at positions 523 to 796 of the family's 1533-position model. The record is from RNAcentral.